AAAUUUUAAAACGAGGACUUUAAGUGCUAUUAACUGAGUUCUAAAUUCAAUAUUUGUAUAUAUUUAAUGAACUUUUUAACACAAAUAUACUAUUUAAGAAGAGUACUGGAUUCGCCCGAAUCCGAAUACGGGCUUCUAGCUCCUCCCCGAAUAUUAAUGACAUGUAGCUGGGGGCAUAGAGCAUAAUAGGAGUUUUGCCGUACCUGCCAACAUGUUCAGACCUUUGUAAAUACACACUCGAGUAUAUCAAAAUUGCUUAUCAUGACGAUCUACCCUUCAAAAUUCAAACAUAUGCAGAUGGAGGACCUAUGCUUUCAACAAAAAUUCUGAAUAUAUAUAUAUAUAUUCAAUUUUUAUCAAAAAUCUUUAAAAUUAAAAGUCCGAUGAAGGUACUAGAUGAACGGUUUACUAGUGUACCCGGCCACUCUCAAAUCUUAGGUCCGCGCCUGAACAUAUGUGUAUAAAUAUAUGUGCAGAGAUUAGGUGGAGUAAAUUAGCACCUGCUAUGAAAUGUUAUAGUGUUUGAGGAGAGUACACCAUCUUGCAUUAAUAUUAAAGAUGUUUUCUUUGACUUUGGUAAUUUUCAUAAGUAGAGCUCUAGCCAACAUAUUUCAUAGCAGGUACUAAUAUUAUAACUUCUAACUGUAUCUCUUCUAAAAUAAGUUGUCCUUUAGCAAAAAUAAACAUAUAUAAAUGUAAUGGUUAGUAAUGACUAAAUUGAUAAAUAAGUGAGUAAAAGGACUUUUUUUCAAUUUUUAAAAAUUUACUUUCUUGUCUGCAGAACGAAGAAGAUGCCCGAAAAGUGGAGGUGGAGCACGAUGGUUCCUGUAUACAAGAAUAAGGGUGAUAUCCAAGGGUUUAUACUAUGAAAGUCUGGGAGAGUGUGGUAGAGCUAAGGGUAAGGAGGAGUGUAUCUAUUUCUAAGAACCAGUUUGGGUUUAUGCCGGGGUGUUCGACAACAGAAGCCAUCCAACUUGUUAGGAGAUUGAUGGAGCAAUAUAGGGAGAGAAAGAAGAAAUUGCAUAUGGUGUUCAUCGACUUGGAAAAGGCGUACGAUAAAGUUCCGAUUGAGGUUUUGUGGAGAUGUUUGGCGACUAGAGGUGUACCUGCUACCUAAGUUGGGUUGAUUAAGGACAUGUAUGAUGGAGUAAUGAUCUGAGUGAAGAUGGUGGGUGGGGACUCAGACCAUUUUUCAGUGGUAAUAGGGUUGCAUUAGGGGUCGGCACUCAGCCCUUUUUAAUUUGCUCUGGUGAUGGACGAACUGACGUGCCACAUUGAUGUCGCCCAAACUCACACCACAAAUAUAGGUUGUGAGGCAGUCGAAGCAAUAAUAAAAACCUAACGCAAGUCGGGGUUGAAUCCACAGGGAGUUAGAUAUGAGAUUAGGUAUAUGUCUAGACUAGGUGUAUGAUGUGCCCAAGAUUACACUUUCACAUAUUUGGUUGUUUCUUUCUACUUCUAUUAAUUAUGCUAAUGUUUGCAAGUGAAAAGUUAAGAGACAAUAUUUUUGGUUUUGUUGUUUUUCAAGUUGAUAAAAGGUCUAGGGUCGUGACUUCCACCUAGGUGGUUACCUAAUAGGUUGUAAACUCUAGGGCAAGUUUGAUUGGUCGGCAUUGUAAUAUAGCAAUCAUACUCGAUUACUCACUCUAUACCUCUCGGUAGUUUGAAUGAUUUUGCCCAAUUUGGCUUUCUCAAAUCUAAAUGGGUAUUGCACAAAACAAGUGAUAAAUGCUUAAGUCGGGUCUUACUAUCUCUAGAUUCAACCCUUUAAUAGGGGAUAUCUGUCACACCUCCUUUUUACCGAGAGGGCAUAAGGGAGUUUUCCCAACUAAAGUAACAAUAAUCGAAAUGGGAUUGUUUAAUUAUUUCAAAGUCGCCACUUAGAAUAUUUAUGGUGUCCCAAGUCACCGGUUUAUUUUAAAAUUUCAAAUUGAGAAAAUUUGACUCUUAUUUAUGGUCUGCGAACGCAGAAAACCGGGUAAGAAAUUCUAUUAACCCGGAAGAAGGUGUUAGGCAUCCCGAGUUCCGUGGUUUUAGCACAGUCGCUUUUAAUCCUACCUGACUUAAUUAAAUUGUUUAAUUACGUGUUUUAGAACCUAUGUACUUUUAACUUUUUAUCGCUUUUGAUUGGGCGUUUUAUGGAAUUAUCUUGAAACGAGUCACGCGUACAUGUACUCAUUUUGUUUGGUGCGUCAAGAAUCAUGUCACGCGUACGUGUAUACAAUUAAUCAGGCUUUAUUAAUAUUAAGAAAGUUUGGCCGAAGUUGUGCGAACGCAUACCUCGAUUUAUUUUUAGAAUCAUAAUUAUGUCACGCGAACGUGUACACAAUCAGGAUGAUAGAUUAAGUCGCGCCUAAAGAAAGCUACGAAUAUUCAUUUUAGAAACUAUAAUCAUGUCACGUAAACGUGUACAUAAUUACGAUAAUAAAUUCAAAACGCGCCUAAAGGUUUUCCUACCCAUGACGGCCUUAAGCAUGCUACUAGCGGGUGACGUAAUAGAUAAUAAAUGAAUAAACAAAAGAGAACUAACUAAGAGAAAAAUUCAACUCAUACUCCAAUUGAAUUGAUUCUAUUUAACCCAACCCUACGUCCCAUUUUCGGCAAAUUAGACCAAACAAUUAUGGUAUCUAAAUACUCUUAUUCAUACUUGUACUUAACACAUACAAAUAAUCAAGAAGGCAACAUCAUAUCAUUCCAUCAUAACAUAAGAAAAUAAUCAGCACAAAUAGAAGAGAAAGGGACAAGAUGGACCUGAGUAAACUUUCCCUUUCUGAUUUGAUUAAAUUGAUUCCACAAAUAAUGAAGCCCAAUCUACUAUAUGAGAAAACAAACAAGGAUAGCAACUAGAUCGAACAAGACCUCGGCUACAACGAAUGCCUUGACUCGACUCUUUGUGUUUAUAAUGAAAUGUUCGACUUCAAAAACGAAACCAAGCAAUUCACUCGACUCUUUGUGCGGCUGUUUUGUGUAUGCAGAUAGGUUGGAGGUAUUUCCUUUCUUGAACAAGAGCGACAGAAGGGAAUCUAUAGGUGAAGAGUGCUCGGCUGUUAGAAGGAGGUGUGGUUAAGGAUGAGAGACGGCGACGGGGGGAGGGGAGGGGAGGGGCUGGUUUUUGGCGAUAUCAGUGGUGGCUGGCGACAGAGGGGUUAGGAGAUGAGCGGGUGUGUAGGUGUGUGGUUGGCAAGGGUUCUGUCGCUGGCGUUGGAAGGGGUGUGAAAGAGAGAAGGGGGUGGGUGAUGUGGAUAGUGAGGAGGUCCGGCGGAUUUUUUGGCGGAGAUGAGGGGGCGGCAGCGACUCUUCUGGUUCUAAGAGCGACGGCGACUGUUGGCUUUCAAAGAGCGAUGGCGGCUGCUGCUUGGAGAGGAUGACGGCUGGAGCUCUGAAGAAGAAUUAGGAUUUUUUUGUGUGUGUUGUCUUGGUUGAAGAAGAAGAGGGGACGGCUGGGAGGGGUUCUAGGUCUCUAGGCUUCUUUGUUUUGUCUCUUUGAUAAAGAAGAAGCAACGGCUGGGGUCUUCAAGACUAGGGUUGGGAUCUGUUUUUAUUUUUAAGAAGAAGAGUCCAGAAGGGUCUCUAGGGUUAGCUUAGUGGAUAUUGGGUAUUGGGCUUGGAUUUAUGGGCUAAGGGUCCGAAAAUUGGGCCUAAAAUGGGUUGUUUAGGCCCAAAUUUUAUUCUUUCUCAUUG
RNAcentral lists this long non-coding RNA (3681 nucleotides) under Nicotiana tabacum (common tobacco). RNAcentral's name for it is "long non-coding RNA (NTAB_LNC000148)". Lineage: Eukaryota; Viridiplantae; Streptophyta; Magnoliopsida; Solanales; Solanaceae. The record is from RNAcentral.